This 253-nucleotide ribosomal RNA is filed under the name uncultured bacterium. RNAcentral's name for it is "partial 16S ribosomal RNA". It matches the Rfam family "Bacterial small subunit ribosomal RNA", at positions 524 to 776 of the family's 1533-position model. The record is from RNAcentral.
UACGGGGGGGGCAAGCGUUGUUCGGAAUUACUGGGCGUAAAGGGCGCGUAGGCGGCCUGUUAAGUCGAACGUGAAAUCCCCGGGCUCAACCCGGGAACUGCGUCCGAUACUGGCAGGCUUGAAUCCGGGAGAGGGAUGCGGAAUUCCAGGUGUAGCGGUGAAAUGCGUAGAUAUCUGGAGGAAUACCGGUGGCGAAGGCGGCAUCCUGGACCGACAUUGACGCUGAUGAGCGAAAGCUAGGGGAGCAAACGGG